RNAcentral lists this ribosomal RNA (301 nucleotides) under uncultured bacterium. RNAcentral's name for it is "partial 16S ribosomal RNA". It matches the Rfam family "Bacterial small subunit ribosomal RNA", at positions 509 to 809 of the family's 1533-position model. The record is from RNAcentral.
CAGUAGCCGCGGGAAUACGAGGGGGGCAAGCGUUGUUCGGAAUUAUUGGGCGUAAAGGGCGCGUAGGCGGUUUGGCAAGUUUCGUGUGAAAUCUUCGGGCUCAACUCGAAGUCUGCACGGAAAACUGCCGGGCUUGAGUAUGGGAGAGGUGAGUGGAAUUUCCGGUGUAGCGGUGAAAUGCGUAGAUAUCGGAAGGAACACCUGUGGCGAAAGCGGCUCACUGGACCAUAACUGACGCUGAGGAGCGAAAGCGUGGGGAGCGAACAGGAUUAGAUACCCCCGUAGUCCCUGUCUCUUAUAA